RNAcentral lists this ribosomal RNA (446 nucleotides) under uncultured bacterium. RNAcentral describes it as "SSU rRNA". It matches the Rfam family "Bacterial small subunit ribosomal RNA", at positions 26 to 518 of the family's 1533-position model. The record is from RNAcentral.
AGAGCGAACGCUGGCGGCAGGCUUAACACAUGCAAGUCGAGCGGGCGUAGCAAUACGUCAGCGGCAGACGGGUGAGUAACGCGUGGGAACGUACCUUUUGGUCCGGAACAACCCAGGGAAACUUGGGCUAAUACCGGAUAAGCCCUUACGGGGAAAGAUUUAUCGCCGAAAGAUCGGCCCGCGUCUGAUUAGCUAGUUGGUGGGGUAAUGGCCCACCAAGGCGACGAUCAGUAGCUGGUCUGAGAGGAUGAUCAGCCACAUUGGGACUGAGACACGGCCCAAACUCCUACGGGAGGCAGCAGUGGGGAAUAUUGGACAAUGGGCGCAAGCCUGAUCCAGCCAUGCCGCGUGAGUGAUGAAGGCCCUAGGGUUGUAAAGCUCUUUGUGCGGGAAGAUAAUGACGGUACCGCAAGAAUAAGCCCGGCUAACUUCGUGCCAGCAGCCGC